RNAcentral lists this transfer RNA (73 nucleotides) under Danionella translucida. It matches the Rfam family "tRNA". From Rfam's summary of the family: Transfer RNA (tRNA) molecules are approximately 80 nucleotides in length. Their secondary structure includes four short double-helical elements and three loops (D, anti-codon, and T loops). RNAcentral also lists the same sequence under 1 other name. Lineage: Eukaryota; Metazoa; Chordata; Actinopteri; Cypriniformes; Danionidae. The record is from Rfam by way of RNAcentral.
GACCUUGUGGCCUAACGGAUAAGGUGUCUGACUUCGGAUCAGAAGAUUGCAGGUUCGAGUCCUGCCAGGGUCG